Molecule: ribosomal RNA, 253 nt
Filed under: uncultured bacterium
Lineage: Bacteria
Description: partial 16S ribosomal RNA
Rfam family: Bacterial small subunit ribosomal RNA
Source: RNAcentral
UACAGAGGGGGCAAGCGUUGUUCGGAAUUAUUGGGCGUAAAGGGCGCGUAGGCGGCCUUCUAAGUCGAACGUGAAAUCCCUGGGCUCAACCCAGGAACUGCGUCCGAUACUGGAAGGCUUGAAUCCGGGAGAGGGAUGCGGAAUUCCAGGUGUAGCGGUGAAAUGCGUAGAUAUCUGGAGGAACACCGGUGGCGAAGGCGGCAUCCUGGACCGGUAUUGACGCUGAGGCGCGAAAGCCAGGGGAGCAAACGGG